CGUAGGGCGCAAGCGUUGUCCGGAUUUAUUGGGCGUAAAGAGCUCGUAGGCGGCUUGUCGCGUCGACUGUGAAAACCCACGGCUCAACCGUGUGGUCUGCAGCCGAUACGGGCAGGCUAGAGUUCGGUAGGGGAGACUGGAAUUCCUGGUGUAGCGGUGAAAUGCGCAGAUAUCAGGAGGAACACCGGUGGCGAAGGCGGGUCUCUGGGCCGAUACUGACGCUGAGGAGCGAAAGCGUGGGGAGCGAACAGGAUUAGAUACCCUGGUAGUCCACGCUGUAAACGUUGGGCGCUAGGUGUGGGGGGCCUCUCCGGUCCUCUGUGCCGCAGCUAACGCAUUAAGCGCCCCGCCUGGGGAGUACGGCCGCAAGGCUA
RNAcentral lists this ribosomal RNA (374 nucleotides) under uncultured organism. Its description in RNAcentral is "bacterial SSU rRNA". It matches the Rfam family "Bacterial small subunit ribosomal RNA", at positions 526 to 896 of the family's 1533-position model. The record is from RNAcentral.